ACACAUUACAGACUCAUCUCAUCUCCUCAUUCAUUGUGUCACACUUUGCAGAUUGUCUCUCUGUGUAAGCUGUCACCCUCUGCACUGUCACACUCUAUAUAUAGGUAUGCUGUCACACUGAAUGCAGGUACACUGUUAUACUCUAGGUAUAGGUACACUGUCACACUGUAUGCAGGUACACUGUCACACUGAAUACAGGCACACU
Pelobates cultripes (western spadefoot toad) is the source of this 205-nucleotide non-coding RNA. The record is from the annotation of a GenBank genome assembly. Lineage: Eukaryota; Metazoa; Chordata; Amphibia; Anura; Pelobatidae.